This 501-nucleotide ribosomal RNA is filed under the name Triticum aestivum (bread wheat). Its description in RNAcentral is "partial small subunit ribosomal RNA". Lineage: Eukaryota; Viridiplantae; Streptophyta; Magnoliopsida; Poales; Poaceae. The record is from RNAcentral.
AUGCGCCAGCUUAACGGGGCCUAUGAUCUCCCAGGGUUAUUGAUCGGUGACCUCAAUGAAAUCCAAUCGCUUCAAGAAAAGGAUGGCGGUAACCCUCGGCCUCAACAAUAUAUGAUGGCAUUCCAAUCAGCAAUUGAAGCCUGCGAGUUACGUGACCUCGGUUUUGUUGGGGAUCGGUUCACAUGGCACAGGGGAAGAAUUAGGGAAAGGUUGGACAUGGGUCUGGUUAAUGAGGCGUGGUCAGUGCUAUUCCCUGAAGCAGCUUUGGAGAAUCUGCAGUAUAAUCACAGCGAUCACCGACCUUUGCUAGUGAAUACAGAGUAUUACUCGUUACCGACACAAGCUGGUCUAGACCUGCCAAGGAGGUUCGAGGCAAGAUGGCUUCAUGAAGAACAAUUUAAUGAAACUGUGCUUGAUGCAUGGAAUAAAGUUGGGACUGACCCGACAGCAAAUAACAUUUAUACAAAGCUAAAUCGUAUGCAUGCCCAAUUCCAUGACUAG